This 446-nucleotide ribosomal RNA is filed under the name uncultured bacterium. RNAcentral describes it as "bacterial SSU rRNA". It matches the Rfam family "Bacterial small subunit ribosomal RNA", at positions 329 to 792 of the family's 1533-position model. The record is from RNAcentral.
GGCCAGACUCCUACGGGAGGCAGCAGUGGGGGAUAUUGCACAAUGGGGGGAACCCUGAUGCAGCGACGCCGCGUGGGUGAAGAAGCGCCUCGGCGCGUAAAGCCCUGUCAGCAGGGAAGAAAAUGACGGUACCUGAAGAAGAAGCCCCGGCUAACUACGUGCCAGCAGCCGCGGUAAUACGUAGGUGGCGAGCGUUAUCCGGAUUUACUGGGUGUAAAGGGAGUGUAGGCGGGAAGGCAAGUCAGAAGUGAAAAUUAUGGGCUCAACCCAUAACCUGCUUUUGAAACUGUUUUUCUUGAGUGAAGCAGAGGCAAGCGGAAUUCCUAGUGUAGCGGUGAAAUGCGUAGAAAUUAGGAGGAACACCAGUGGCGAAGGCGGCUUGCUGGGCUUUUACUGACGCUGAGGCUCGAAAGCGUGGGGAGCAAACAGGAUUAGAUACCCUGGUA